RNAcentral lists this ribosomal RNA (444 nucleotides) under uncultured bacterium. Its description in RNAcentral is "SSU rRNA". It matches the Rfam family "Bacterial small subunit ribosomal RNA", at positions 26 to 518 of the family's 1533-position model. The record is from RNAcentral.
AGAGCGAACGCUGGCGGCAGGCCUAACACAUGCAAGUCGAGCGCCCCGCAAGGGGAGCGGCAGACGGGAGAGUAACACGUGGGAACGUACCCUUUGGUUCGGAACAACACAGGGAAACUUGUGCUAAUACCGGAUAAGCCCUUACGGGGAAAGAUUUAUCGCCAAAGGAUCGGCCCGCGUCUGAUUAGCUUGUUGGUGAGGUAACGGCUCACCAAGGCUACGAUCAGUAGCUGGUCUGAGAGGAUGAUCAGCCUCACUGGGACUGAGACACGGCCCAGACUCCUACGGGAGGCAGCAGUGGGGAAUAUUGGACAAUGGGCGCAAGCCUGAUCCAGCCAUGCCGCGUGGAUGAUGAAGGCCCUAGGGUUGUAAAGUCCUUUCGACGGGAAGAGUAAUGACGGUACCCGUAGAAGAAGCCCCGGCUAACUUCGUGCCAGCAGCCGC